This 474-nucleotide ribosomal RNA is filed under the name uncultured bacterium. RNAcentral's name for it is "bacterial SSU rRNA". It matches the Rfam family "Bacterial small subunit ribosomal RNA", at positions 32 to 507 of the family's 1533-position model. The record is from RNAcentral.
AACGCUGGCGGCGUGCUAAUACAUGCAAGUCAACUUGACUUUAGAUAGCAAUAUCGAAAAGUAGGGUGGCGCGCGGGUGCGUAACGCGUAGGUAAUCUGCCCUGAGGUCUGACAUAACCCGUCGAAAGGCGGGCUAACAUCAGAUGAUAUAUAAUCACGACAUCGUGGAAAUAUCAAAUCUUCGGAGCCUUGGGAUGAGCCUGCGUCUGAUUAGGUAGUUGGCGGAGUAAUAGCCCACCAAGCCUACGAUCAGUAGCUGGUCUGAGAGGAUGAUCAGCCACACUGGAACUGAGACACGGUCCAGACUCCCACGGGAGGCAGCAGUAAGGAAUAUUGCUCAAUGGGGGAAACCCUGAAGCAGCAACGCCGCGUGAAGGAUGAAAUACUUUGUAUGUAAACUUCUGUAAGAUGGGAAAAAUAUUCUCCUCGGGAGAAUUGAUUGUACCAUCAGAGUAAGCCCCGGCUAACUACGUG